UACGUAGGGGGCAAGCGUUGUCCGGAAUCAUUGGGCGUAAAGCGCGUGUAGGCGGCUCGAUAAGUCCGCUCUGAAAGUCCAGGGCUCAACCCUGGGAUGCGGGUGGAUACUGUCGGGCUCGAGUCCGGAAGAGGCGAGUGGAAUUCCUGGUGUAGAGGUGAAAUUCGUAGAUAUCGGGAGGAACACCGGUGGCGAAGGCGGCGACCUGGGUAGAUACUGACGCUGAGGUGCGAAAGCGUGGGGAGCAAACAGG
Molecule: ribosomal RNA, 253 nt
Filed under: uncultured bacterium
Lineage: Bacteria
Description: partial 16S ribosomal RNA
Rfam family: Bacterial small subunit ribosomal RNA
Source: RNAcentral